UUUCACGAACUUUUCCCCUCGACCUAAGGUCCCCGUAUCUGUGAAACCGCCUUGGAAAAGCCUCUACACACAAGCAAUGCCUUGUUCCUGGCCAACUACCACAGGCCUGCUCCAGCACUCCUGUCCCUGAGGCUCCCAUCCCUCUGAGACUGGCUGUGCCCGGGAGAAAGAGGAGGAGGAGGAAGAGGAGGAGGACUCUCCGGAGAUCAGAAGUGAGAAGUUUUACACAACCGGGGAAAUGGAGGAAAAACCCGAGUCUUAAAGCCCCAGUCGUUGCCUAUCUGAGCCUCACCACUACUCACUCCAAAUUAAUGCAAGGAAGAUUUUGACCUUGAGGGUAAUAAUACAAACCAUCAAACCUCAGGCUUGUUUGCUGACACCCAGCUUACUCUCAGUCUCUUCCUUGGAUCGCUUUUGCUGCAUAGCCCUCCGUUUGCCCAUUUGCACCCUCUCUUAUCUCCCUUCUAAGUUCUCUUUCCUCUUCUCUUGAGUCUCCUACCCCUCCCAGAGGCAACCGAUGCUGACAGACCUGGAGUUUAUUUAGAGUAGGCGCCCUGGGACCCAGGGGGCAUCCAAGGGCCUCCCCAGCGCAGACUGUGAAGGCAUAAGGUGUUGAGUGUCUGCUUUUGCCUAAUCUUUAACAUAAAGGCAAGGGAACACUCUUUCCUCCCCAUCUCCCAGGCCCCUGUCCCCAGUCACCCCCCAGCACUGUUUCUGGGGCUGUCUUCUCUCCAUCUGAGCCUAGUUUCAGCUGCAAAGGAAAAGACCACAACUUCCCAGCUCCUUUUAUAAGUGUCUUUCUCUUCAUGCCAGCAGGUCGGGUUGAACCAGACUAGCACGGAAAAGGGAAGGUGGAAAAGAAUCUGAGGGAAAGAGGGUACCCUUCGGAAAACAAGGAAUAUUCAAGUACCAGGUGCGAAAGUUUUAAAUAGAAACCCGCUUACAUUGCACUUGGAGUAACAACAGCUGGCUGGAGGUCCUGGGGCUCCUCAGAAGACGAAGAAUUUUUCCGGGACAGUCUCAACAUCACGUGAAGCCAUUGUAGCAAAGGCUACAGCUCAGUGGCCCCCUGUCUAUGCAUCUCAAAUUGCGAGCUUAGGGAUUUAUUUUCUAACUUGUACACUAAACCUCUCACAUUCCACCCGCACACAAUGACUCUGUUUUUCAAAAUGCUGUCAUACAUGGGAAUUUUAUGACAUCAAACCCUUAAAAAUGUGGAAACUUUGGUUUCAAAAUACUUAAUAGGGGAAAAUAAUAAACCCCUUGAUUCACAGUUUCUUUGCUUGCUUACGGUUCGUUUCUGACACUGUGACUGGCGCGUGUUUGGGAGGCCGGGUUUCGGAGGCAUAAUCAAGUAUUCAUAUAUGCCUGGUCUUGGCACCGCAGAACGCUCCCUCUAAUCUGGAAAUAUUUUCCCUUCAGACAGGAAUAGAGAGGUUACAUUUGGGUCACUAGCAAUCUCACAAAAGGCUUUUCAAACGAGAUGAAAGAAAAGAAGUUCUGAUUUGUUGGGAGAAAUCGGAGAGCUUUCCAACUCGAGGGAUGUGGUGAGCGUCCAGGAGCGCGUCCAGGAGCGGCAUCUCUGGGGUGGGAAGCCGGGAGCACCCCCGACGGAUGGGCUGAGCGAGAAGGACAGGGUUACAGCCGGCGGAGGAGGCGAUGGAGCCCCUGCUUCCUCCAGGUGUCCCUUACGCAGACUUUCCAGGCAGGCUGUUGGCUGCAGGCGGCCGUCCCUCUUCCUGUGGCUUGGGCAUCAGCUUUCCAGCUCUCUCUGGAAAGCCUGUGUAAUGGCCGCCUGCCUGCAUGCGCUGCCUCGCCCACGACCCCAACAGUUAAACAGCUCUGUUCACAACCAGGGGAGGGUGACAACAUUUCAGAUGCAUUUCCUCCAGGCAGGACGAGUUGGCCCCAGCGGAGCGUACACCUGCGUUCCUCAAUCAUAGGAGGCUCUGUCUUUCCUCUCGCAUGACCCCGCUUUCCUACGUCUGUUGGGAAAGCAGAAUAUUUAGAAUCAAAGGGGCAGCCAGGGGAGGGAGAGAGGCGAAGUGCUGCCCAGCGCCUCAAAUGUCGCUGAGGAAUCAGGAGACACAGUUUCCUUCAGCUUAAAGAACUUACUUAGUUCCUUAAAGUCGAAUGAAUUCCUCAAGCACUGGAGAAACUUUUGCAAAAAUAUCCAGAGCCCAGACCAGUGCUUGGCGUGCAGCACACACUCCAUGAACGGCGUGGAGUGCGGACGCAGAGCACUGUUUCU
Equus caballus (horse) is the source of this 2251-nucleotide long non-coding RNA. Lineage: Eukaryota; Metazoa; Chordata; Mammalia; Perissodactyla; Equidae. The record is from Ensembl.